GAUUAUGGCUCAGGAUGAACGCUGGCGGCGUGCUUAACACAUGCAAGUCGAACGAAGCAAUUUUCUACGAUCCCUUCGGGGUGACGGAUUAUGACUGGAGUGGCGGACGGGUGAGGUAACGCGUAGGGUAACCUGCCUUGUACAGGGGGACAACAGUUGGAAACGACUGCUAAUACCGCAUAAGCGCACAGCAUCGCAUGAUGCAGUGUGAAAAGUUUUUUCGGUACAAGAUGGACCCGCGUCUGAUUAGCUAGUUGGUGAGGUAACGGCCCACCAAGGCGACGAUCAGUAGCCGACCUGAGAGGGUGACCGGCCACAUUGGGACUGAGACACGGCCCAAACUCCUACGGGAGGCAGCAGUGGGGAAUAUUGCACAAUGGGCGAAAGCCUGAUGCAGCGAACCGCCGCGUGAGCGAAGAAGUAUUUCGGUAUGUAAAGCUCUAUCAGCAGGGAAGAUAAUGACGGUACCUGACUAAGAAGCACCGGCUAAAUACGUGCCAGCCGCAGC
This 508-nucleotide ribosomal RNA is filed under the name uncultured bacterium. Its description in RNAcentral is "bacterial SSU rRNA". It matches the Rfam family "Bacterial small subunit ribosomal RNA", at positions 15 to 518 of the family's 1533-position model. The record is from RNAcentral.